Molecule: long non-coding RNA, 3109 nt
Organism: Etheostoma cragini (Arkansas darter)
Lineage: Eukaryota; Metazoa; Chordata; Actinopteri; Perciformes; Percidae
Exons: 2
Source: RefSeq, a predicted model, not a curated record
UUUUAUUUGGCAAUCUAUUGGAUUUGUAACUGUUUUAGAAGUACGGACAAAUUACUUUGUUCUUAUAUUUGGGACAUCAGAUCAUCAAGUAUUACAUGUGAAACUGAGACCUGUUGAAAUAAACACAGUCAGAUUGGUCAUUCUACAUGUACUGUGCUUUCUCAGAGGACAACACAUCAACAUACAUUCCUGCAUUAUGUAGUUUUAACCCAAUCUAGUCAGAACAAAUCAUGUAGCCAUUGUCUUCCACUACCCAUGUUUAUAUACAUGGGUUUCCACAUGCAUCUCACUAUCUCAGCCUGUGUCAGCGUCAUUGUCCUCUCAGCAGAGUAAUGAGCUGUAAUGCGCCUCUCGAGCUUCCUAUCUGUUUUUUUCUUUUUCCCUCCCUGACUUGACAUCCCAUGGGAAGAGCGGUCAGAGCAGAUCGUUUCUCUGUGGUUGACUUUAUCAGAAAAUUAUUUUACAGACAGAACAGAGCUAACUAAAAGCCGUCUGUGACAAAAACAGAGCCUAAAGGAGCGGAGGAAGACACGACUUGUAACAUUGGUCAUUUGAGAUGAAGAGUGCCAAUGAGUGACACGUAAAGUGAUAUGGGAAGAUGUGGAAGAGAGAGGAAAGAUGAGGCAGGAAAUGCUCAUUUUCAUUUACACCAGUAGUACAUUCACUUAUGACAGCUGACAUGAAAAGAGACACUGUAUAUGAGUGUGAGCAAGGAAAGUAGAAACAAUGCGUCAGAGAGAGGACAGAGAAUGUGUAACGAGGAUCAUGUUUGACUUAAAAAAUAGCUUAAACUCUAGAGUAAGAAGAAAUGAGUAAGAUAAGAAAAAAAUCAAAGAUGGGAAAAAAGUGGACAGGUUAGCUGUAUUUCUAAACUCUAACAAACAACCAAGAACUCAACCCCACAGUACAUAGUCACAAAAUGUAUCAGUGUUUGUGGUUCUUGUUUGGUCGGUCGAGGCUCAGGCGUUCAUCCACCACCUACAGUUAACAUCAAACAACACCCUUACUCCCUCCCGUCAGAUAGAAACAAUGUGUUUCUAGCUAUGUGACCCAAAACUUUUGGGGGUGACUCAGCAGACCCCACAAAGAAGAAAUCACGCAAACAUGAGCAUCUGUUUCAUUGGACAAGGCAAUGUAAAAAACCCUCCAAUCAGGCAGUUAGGUGUUUUUUUGAUUCUCUCUAUCUUACUGCUGAUAAUACCUGCCUACACAGCCCCAUGGGAGUAAAGGAUACCAACUCCAGGCGCCUGUUAUCAACUCCAGUAGCUCCAUCUACUCAGCCACCCAGGCACCUAGAGAGAUCACCAACAUCGAUCUUCACAGAAGGACUGGACGGGGCGAGGUGGCAACUAGACAAACUGAGAGACUACACUGAGGCACUGACUUCAUUCGGAUCCAACUUCCUGGAUUAUGAAUAAAAGUGCACAUGGCAAAGGUGGGGCCAAGAUGACCGUGUUCUACAUCAUGAUACAGAAUGGAUUUACAGUGACUCUAUCCAGCUGAGCACAUGUAAAAACUGCAGUGUGGUGACAUGAGGAUAUUUAAUGGAUGAGAAGACGGAUAAGUAACAAAAAUCAACAGCCUAAGUAAAUGUCUCGUUAAGGGUAUAUUAUUUACAAGCCCACACCACACUCACAUUCAACAGCCCUUAUGAUGAGGAACAGUUUGAAGAUCCCUUAACUCCCCAAAUAUCUGGUACCAGAGUGGUAAUAAGUUACACAUUUGGCAGAUAUUUUGAUUUCAGUAAUGAGGAUAUUUGGUGAAUGUAGUUAGUUGUAGUUGUAUUUAAUGUAGUUUCUGGAGAAGGCAAUGCAAGAAGUUGGACUGAAUUACUACAGGGAAGAAAAAAACGAAGUAGUACAACCAGGAAAUAAACUAUUACUUGUUUGUUCAAAAUAUCAUGACUUGCUGAGAAGUGUAUAAUGUAUUAUACUUAUGUGGUAUUCGCCAUGGAGACUUCACUGUGACAACCAAAGCCAAAAUGUUUGAAGGGAAAAAUACAUUACAAGUCUAGCACAUACAUAGGCCUAUUGUGCAUACACUCACUCACUUAGACAACGAUGGUAAAGAAGAUGCAGACAUAAUAAAGAAAUUGAUCGCUAUGCAAAUAAGAAACUUCUGCAGCACUGUAUACUGUAUAUUGUAAACAUACUGUAUGGCUAUAACAUGCUACCAUUGCAGCAUUAUGUAUACCUAACUUACAUGCAUGGCUACCAGCAGAUUUCUCUUUUACACAUCACUGUGCUCAUCAGGGUGCAAUUUGUGAAUAAACAUCUUGGGAGGUGGGGGGGGGGCAACAAUGCCAAAACGUGUAUUUAUAAACUUCAAUAUUCAAUGGAAACUAAUCCCAAAGUGAAAUAGAACAAUGUCGUGUCAACGUAAAACACAGCGCUUUCAGGCCAGAGCACAGAGUUCAUAGGAGUGUUCUAGUUUGCUCAGUGUUUCUUGGUAAACUGAACUACCAUGGCCCCUGAAAGGACCCUCAUCUGGCGGUGCCUCACCUAUUGGCAGCUAAAAAACUGCCGCUGUUAGUGGCGUCCCGGAGCUCUGUAGAGGCUUCAUACAACCAGCACCUGCCGCUCGGAUUUUAGCGUUCCAUGGCACUAUAGAGUGUUCAUUUUACAGCGCUUUAAUUAGUUUCAAAUACUUAAAUUCUAGGUAUAUAAUGUUCUAUUGGUCGAGAAGCAUUGAUCCCUUUCAGGUGGGGAUGCAUUGAGUCCCCACUGGGGAUAAAAAUGAUUCAGCAGAAGCAAGAAUAUGUAGACCAGAAAGGAUAAAAUCCCACAAAUCCCCCAUAGCAAAAAACACCCUGGUCCUCAUUGAUGGAGUAAAGUUUUCGCCUCUUCACAAAUACAUGUCAGUCUUUUGUACUUCUAGUCAAUAUAUAUGUUUAUGUUUUAGGUUUUGGCUUAACAUUUGAGUUUAGAUUUCCAUUAUAUGUUUUUUCUAUGUCUAAGUUUUAAGUUUCAUUUGAGAAAUUCCUCCCUUUGUAAAUUUUCAUUUAUGUCAUGAAUCAUAGUUCCUCGUCUUUCAAGAUUGUUUUGUAAAAGUGGACCUGUCUACUGUUAUGACUUCUGUAAUAUAACUUCAUUAAAUUAAUAAGAAUGUG